This 334-nucleotide unclassified non-coding RNA is filed under the name soil metagenome. RNAcentral describes it as "partial contains 5.8S ribosomal RNA, internal transcribed spacer 2, and large subunit ribosomal RNA". The stretch from base 1 to 120 matches the Rfam family "5.8S ribosomal RNA", at positions 35 to 154 of the family's 154-position model. The record is from RNAcentral.
GAUGAAGAACGUAGCGAAAUGCGAUAAGUAAUGUGAAUUGCAGAAUUCAGUGAAUCAUCGAAUCUUUGAACGCACAUUGCGCCCGCCAGUAUUCUGGCGAGCAUGCCUGUUCGAGCGUCAUUUCAACCAUCAAGCCCCAGGCUUGUGUUGGAGCCCUGCGGCUGCCGCAGCCUCCCAAAACCAGUGGCGGGCUCGCUAUCACACCGAGUGCAGUAGUUUACUCUUCGCUCAGGGCGUGUGGCGGGUGCUAGCCGUGAAACCCCCAACUUCUCAAGGUUGACCUCGGAUCAGGUAGGAAUUCCCGCUGAACUUAAGCAUAUCAAUAAGCGGAGGA